This 375-nucleotide ribosomal RNA is filed under the name uncultured bacterium. RNAcentral's name for it is "bacterial SSU rRNA". It matches the Rfam family "Bacterial small subunit ribosomal RNA", at positions 523 to 898 of the family's 1533-position model. The record is from RNAcentral.
AUACGUAGGAACCAAGCGUUGUCCGGAAUCACUGGGUGUAAAGGGUGCGUAGGCGGGCUUGUGCGUCAGAGGUUAAAGCCCUCGGCUCAACCGAGGAAUUGCCUUUGAUACGGCAGGCCUUGAGUGCGGGAGAGGAUGGUGGAAUUCCUGGUGUAGCGGUGAAAUGCGUAGAGAUCAGGAGGAACACCGGAGGCGAAGGCGGCCAUCUGGCCCGCAACUGACGCUGAGGCACGAAAGCGUGGGGAGCAAACAGGAUUAGAUACCCUGGUAGUCCACGCCCUAAACGAUGUAUGCUUGGCGUCGGGAACAUCUGUUCUCGGUGCCGGAGGUAACCCGUUAAGCAUACCACCUGGGGAGUACGGUCGCAAGGCUGAA